RNAcentral lists this ribosomal RNA (145 nucleotides) under Rossellomorea vietnamensis. RNAcentral describes it as "Bacillus vietnamensis partial 23S ribosomal RNA". It matches the Rfam family "Bacterial large subunit ribosomal RNA", at positions 1 to 142 of the family's 2925-position model. The record is from RNAcentral. Lineage: Bacteria; Bacillati; Bacillota; Bacilli; Caryophanales; Bacillaceae.
UUCGGUUAAGUUAUGAAGGGCGCACGGUGGAUGCCUUGGCACUAGGAGCCGACGAAGGACGGGACUAACACCGAUAUGCUUUGGGGAGCUGUAAGUGAGCUUUGAUCCAGAGAUUUCCGAAUGGGGGAACCCAUUGUUCGUAAUG